AGAACGAACGCUGGCGGCAUGCCUAAUACAUGCAAGUCGAACGAACACUUCGGUGUUAGUGGCGCACGGGUGCGUAACGCGUGGGAAUCUGCCCUUGGGUUCGGAAUAACAGUUGGAAACGACUGCUAAUACCGGAUGAUAUCGAAAGAUCAAAGAUUUAUCGCCCAGGGAUGAGCCCGCGUAGGAUUAGCUAGUUGGUGAGGUAAAGGCUCACCAAGGCGACGAUCCUUAGCUGGUCUGAGAGGAUGAUCAGCCACACUGGGACUGAGACACGGCCCAGACUCCGUACGGGAGGCAGCAGUAGGGAAUAUUAGGACAAUGGGCGCAAGCCUGAUCCAGCAAUCGCCGCGUAGAGUGAGUAGAA
RNAcentral lists this ribosomal RNA (364 nucleotides) under uncultured soil bacterium. RNAcentral describes it as "bacterial SSU rRNA". It matches the Rfam family "Bacterial small subunit ribosomal RNA", at positions 26 to 415 of the family's 1533-position model. The record is from RNAcentral.